UACGGGGGGGGCAAGCGUUGUUCGGAAUUACUGGGCGUAAAGGGCGCGUAGGCGGUCAGAUAAGUCAGCUGUGAAAACCUCGGGCUUAACCCGAGGCCUGCAGUUGAAACUGUUUGGCUGGAGUGUGGGAGAGGAGAGUGGAAUUCCCGGUGUAGCGGUGGAAUGCGUAGAGAUCGGGAAGAACACCCGUGGCGAAGGCGGCCGACUGGGCCGGAUCCGACGCUCAAGCGCGAAAGCGUGGGGAGCAAACAGG
This 253-nucleotide ribosomal RNA is filed under the name uncultured bacterium. RNAcentral describes it as "partial 16S ribosomal RNA". It matches the Rfam family "Bacterial small subunit ribosomal RNA", at positions 524 to 776 of the family's 1533-position model. The record is from RNAcentral.